UACGGAGGGAGCUAGCGUUGUUCGGAAUUACUGGGCGUAAAGCGCACGUAGGCGGUUAUUCAAGUCAGAGGUGAAAGCCCGGGGCUCAACCCCGGAACGGCCUUUGAAACUAGAUAGCUAAAAUCUUGGAGAGGUCAGUGGAAUUCCGAGUGUAGAGGUGAAAUUCGUAGAUAUUCGGAAGAACACCAGUAGCGAAGGCGACUGACUGGACAAGUAUUGACGCUGAGGUGCGAAAGCGUGGGGAGCAAACAGG
RNAcentral lists this ribosomal RNA (253 nucleotides) under uncultured bacterium. RNAcentral's name for it is "partial 16S ribosomal RNA". It matches the Rfam family "Bacterial small subunit ribosomal RNA", at positions 524 to 776 of the family's 1533-position model. The record is from RNAcentral.